This 1427-nucleotide ribosomal RNA is filed under the name bacterium DG977. Its description in RNAcentral is "16S ribosomal RNA". It matches the Rfam family "Bacterial small subunit ribosomal RNA". The record is from RNAcentral.
GCGGCAGGCCUAACACAUGCAAGUCGAACGGUAACAGGGAAAAGCUUGCUUUUCCGCUGACGAGUGGCGCACGGGUGCGUAACGCGUAUAGAACCUACCUUUUACUAGGAAAUAGCCCAUGGAAACGUGGAUUAAUGUCCCAUAAAAACAUUUGAUGGCAUCAUUUGAAUGUUUAAAGCUUCGGCGGUAGAAGAUGGCUAUGCGUCCCAUUAGUUAGUAGGCGAGGUAACGGCUCACCUAGGCUUCGAUGGGUAGGGGCCCUGAGAGGGGGAUCCCCCACACUGGUACUGAGACACGGACCAGACUCCUACGGGAGGCAGCAGUGAGGAAUAUUGGACAAUGGACGAAAGUCUGAUCCAGCCAUGCCGCGUGCAGGAAGACGGCCCUACGGGUUGUAAACUGCUUUUAUACGGGAAGAAUAAGAAGUACGUGUACUUCGAUGACGGUACCGUAAGAAUAAGGACCGGCUAACUCCGUGCCAGCAGCCGCGGUAAUACGGAGGGUCCGAGCGUUAUCCGGAAUCAUUGGGUUUAAAGGGUCCGCAGGCGGGCAAUUAAGUCAGGGGUGAAAGGCUGUGCUCAACCAUAGCAUUGCCUUUGAUACUGGUUGUCUUGAGUAUAGUGAAGUGGCCGGAAUAUGUAGUGUACCGGUGAAAUGCAUAGAUAUUACAUAGAACACCGAUUGCGAAGGCAGGUCACUAACUAUUGACUGACGCUGAUGGACGAAAGCGUGGGGAGCGAACGGGAUUAGAUACCCCGGUAGUCCACGCCGUAAACGAUGGAUACUAGCUGUCGGGCUUUCGGGCUCGCGGCCAAGCGAAAGUGAUAAGUAUCCCACCUGGGGAGUACGUUCGCAAGAAUGAAACUCAAAGGAAUUGACGGGGGCCCGCACAAGCGGUGGAGCAUGUGGUUUAAUUCGAUGAUACGCGAGGAACCUUACCAGGGCUUAAAUGCAGAAUGACAGGACCAGAGGCGGUUUUUUCUUCGGACAUUUUGCAAGGUGCUGCAUGGUUGUCGUCAGCUCGUGCCGUGAGGUGUCAGGUUAAGUCCUAUAACGAGCGCAACCCCUGUCGUCAGUUGCCAACAGAUAAUGCUGGGGACUCUGGCGAGACUGCCGGUGCAAACCGCGAGGAAGGUGGGGAUGACGUCAAAUCAUCACGGCCCUUACGUCCUGGGCUACACACGUGCUACAAUGGCCGAUACAGUGAGCAGCCAUCCGGCAACGGAGAGCGAAUCUAUAAAAUCGGUCACAGUUCGGAUCGGGGUCUGCAACUCGACCCCGUGAAGCUGGAAUCGCUAGUAAUCGGAUAUCAGCCAUGAUCCGGUGAAUACGUUCCCGGGCCUUGUACACACCGCCCGUCAAGCCAUGGAAGCCGGGGGUACCUGAAGUCCGUCACCGUAAGGAGCGGCCUAGGGUAAGACCGGUAA